GACGAACGCUGGCGGCGUGCUUAACACAUGCAAGUCGAACGCUGAAGCUCAGCUUUUGUUGGGUGGAUGAGUGGCGAACGGGUGAGUAACACGUGAGUAACCUGCCCCCUUCUUUGGGAUAACGCCCGGAAACGGGUGCUAAUACUGGAUAUUCACUGGUCUUCGCAUGGGGGUUGGUGGAAAGGGUUUUUCUGGUGGGGGAUGGGCUCGCGGCCUAUCAGCUUGUUGGUGGGGUGAUGGCCUACCAAGGCUUUGACGGGUAGCCGGCCUGAGGGGGUGACCGGUCACAUUGGGACUGAGAUACGGCCCAGACUCCUACGGGAGGCAGCAGUGGGGAAUAUUGCACAAUGGGCGCAAGCCUGAUGCAGCGACGCCGCGUGAGGGAUGGAGGCCUUCGGGUUGUGAACCUCUUUCGCUCAUGGUCAAGCCGCAACAAUGGUUGUGGUGAGGGUAGUGGGUAAAGAAGCGCCGGCUAACUACGUG
RNAcentral lists this ribosomal RNA (483 nucleotides) under uncultured bacterium. RNAcentral's name for it is "partial 16S ribosomal RNA". It matches the Rfam family "Bacterial small subunit ribosomal RNA", at positions 28 to 507 of the family's 1533-position model. The record is from RNAcentral.